GCCCUGCCCAAUCGCAAAGUGCAAAUUUCGAAGACGCACCCUAAAGGGUGCCGGGGCUUCUCCCGUUUUAAGAGAGACGGGAGAAGA
RNAcentral lists this transfer RNA (87 nucleotides) under Cyrtodactylus inthanon (Doi Inthanon bent-toed gecko). RNAcentral's name for it is "tRNA-Cys". Lineage: Eukaryota; Metazoa; Chordata; Lepidosauria; Squamata; Gekkonidae. The record is from RNAcentral.